UAGCCUAGUGGUUAAGGCUUAGGAUCGCCAAUCCGGAGACGGCGGGUUCGAUUCCCGU
Molecule: non-coding RNA, 58 nt
Organism: Aedes albopictus (Asian tiger mosquito)
Lineage: Eukaryota; Metazoa; Arthropoda; Insecta; Diptera; Culicidae
Source: Rfam